AGAACGAACGCUGGCGGCAGGCCUAAUACAUGCAAGUCGAACGCACUCUUCGGAGUGAGUGGCAGACGGGUGAGUAACGCGUGGGAACCUUCCCAAUGGUACGGAAUAACUCCGGGAAACCGGUGCUAAUACCGUAUAAGCCCCUCGGGGGAAAGAUUUAUCGCCAUUGGAUGGGCCCGCGUCGGAUUAGCUAGUUGGUAAGGUAAUGGCUUACCAAGGCUACGAUCCGUAGCUGGUCUGAGAGGAUGAUCAGCCACACUGGGACUGAGACACGGCCCAGACUCCUACGGGAGGCAGCAGUGGGGAAUAUUGGACAAUGGGCGAAAGCCUGAUCCAGCCAUGCCGCGUGAGUGAUGAAGGCCCUAGGGUUGUAAAGCUCUUUCAACGGUGAAGAUAAUGACGGUAACCGUAGAAGAAGCCCCGGCUAACUUCGUGCCAGCAGCCGC
Molecule: ribosomal RNA, 446 nt
Filed under: uncultured bacterium
Lineage: Bacteria
Description: SSU rRNA
Rfam family: Bacterial small subunit ribosomal RNA
Source: RNAcentral